GACGAACGCUGGCGGCGUGCUUAACACAUGCAAGUCGAACGGAAAGGCCCUGCUUCUGUGGGGUGCUCGAGUGGCGAACGGGUGAGUAACACGUGAGUAACCUGCCCUUGACUUUGGGAUAACUUCAGGAAACUGGGGCUAAUACCGGAUAGGAGCUCCUGCUGCAUGGUGGGGGUUGGAAAGUUUCGGCGGUUGGGGAUGGACUCGCGGCUUAUCAGCUUGUUGGUGGGGGUAGUGGCUUACCAAGGCUUUGACGGGUAGCCGGCCUGAGAGGGUGACCGGCCACAUUGGGACUGAGAUACGGCCCAGACUCCUACGGGAGGCAGCAGUGGGGAAUAUUGCACAAUGGGCGGAAGCCUGAUGCAGCAACGCCGCGUGCGGGAUGACGGCCUUCGGGUUGUAAACCGCUUUCGCCUGUGACGAAGCGUGAGUGACGGUAAUGGGUAAAGAAGCACCGGCUAACUACGUG
Molecule: ribosomal RNA, 469 nt
Filed under: uncultured bacterium
Lineage: Bacteria
Description: partial 16S ribosomal RNA
Rfam family: Bacterial small subunit ribosomal RNA
Source: RNAcentral